Molecule: long non-coding RNA, 1518 nt
Organism: Uranotaenia lowii
Lineage: Eukaryota; Metazoa; Arthropoda; Insecta; Diptera; Culicidae
Exons: 4
Source: RefSeq, a predicted model, not a curated record
GUGUGGCGUGUAAAUUCUCACUAACCGUCACGGAAAAUAAUAAAAAGGUAAAAUUUACCGAGAUAAAAAGGUGAAUGCUUGUGAAAUCCAAAAAGGUAACUUUUACCUCACCGAGGUGAAACUCACCUCGGAACGAGGUAAAGUUUACCUGAAUCAAGCAGACAAAAAAGGUAGAAUUCACCUAGAAAAAAAAGGUAAAUGCAAAAAAGGUACUUUCUACUUCUUCGAGGUAUAGCUUACCUCGUAGCGAGGUGAAGUUGACCUGGAUUGCGCUGAACAAAACGGUACAAUUCACCUCGAAAAAAAGGUAACUAUUUAUCGAAUCCGUUUAUUGAGGUUAAGUGGUUAGUUCAUUCAGGAAUAAGUGUUGUUUCGCCUACUGAGCUAGGAAAUGUUUUCCUCUUUAAUCCGGAAAAGCGAAUAUUAUCCUCCAGCUGGCCGGAUUAGUCGGAGAAGAGGUGGAACAGUUUUUUUUUUUCAUUUGGAAACAUGUUUUGCAUGAUGCACAAUAACAAUCGGAACUCGAAACAAAAUCAACAAUCAACGGAACAAGUGCCAAAAUGAUGCAUAAUAAUAUUCCAUCGAUAUACUGCUCAUCAAGAACGGAUCUGCUGAAAACCGUUCCGAAACUGGGUUAAGCCAGCUGUGGACCAUCGGGCGAUUCCUGGAUGCGGAACUCCGAACACGCACGGCAUUUCAUCUCUCCCCGCGGCCACAACAAGUUAAGGUGCUCCUGCGUGUUAUUCUUCCAAGCUGAACUGUUGGAGUGUAUUCGGGUUCAGAACCUUCAAAUUUUCGUUUACCAUUAUCCGGAAAAGUAUAAAGGGAAAAAAACGGUGAUUAAAUGGCCGGAUCGUCACGAAAAAGUUUUCGUUGUUUGGGAGGAGGAAGCUGUGUUGGUCUGGUAAUCGCUCGAAGUAAGGCGGAAGGCCGACGUAGAAAAACCGAGUAUGGAAUACUAUCCAUGGCACCACCCCUGGUUCGAAAGUCGCAGCUGCAGCUGAUGCACAUUUUUUGGUUAUUUCCGACAAAGCGGAAGCUAGUCGCCCAUCGUGCCGUAUGCAAGAGGCUGAUAAAAAUUUGCAAUGCUGUUCAUUAGGAUCAUAGUUCCUCUGUUAUUCAUCCUGUUGCUCUUCGAAACUGAAUGACAACAAAACGGAUUCAAUCGGAAAUCCAAACAAUUGGGCACACAGGAACCCUGGCGAUAGGAUGUCCGGUUGAAGCUACCCGGUUGGAGCAGAGAUUCGUCUCCUGUAAAUUACAAAGGUCACGAUGGAACUAAAUUGGUAGCCUUGUCCAUUAAGUUGAGAGGAUUUCUUGAAGGCUCCACCGAAAGCCGUUACCUUCACCCAAAAUUUAAGUUUGAUUGUGAGAUUUGGUUUUUGUAUAUUGAAGGUUUUGAACGACUCGUUGCAUUCAAUGAAUUAAAUAACGGCUCACGAAAAUAUUCCAAAUUUACCAAUAUUUUAUAAGAUGUAAGAAAAUGUUUAUAUAGAAGACAUAUAUAACUGCUGAAAC